GACGGAGGAUGCAAGCGUUAUCCGGAAUUAUUGGGCGUAAAGCGUCCGCAGGUGGACAUACAAGUCUGCUGUCAAAGUGCAGAGCUUAACUCUGUAAAGGCGGUGGAAACUGUAGGUCUUGAGUAUGGUAGGGGUAGAGGGAAUUCCCGGUGUAGCGGUGAAAUGCGUAGAUAUCGGGAAGAACACCAGUGGCGAAAGCGCUCUGCUGGACCAUAACUGACACUCAGGGACGAAAGCUAGGGGAGCGAAUGGG
This 253-nucleotide ribosomal RNA is filed under the name uncultured bacterium. Its description in RNAcentral is "partial 16S ribosomal RNA". It matches the Rfam family "Bacterial small subunit ribosomal RNA", at positions 524 to 776 of the family's 1533-position model. The record is from RNAcentral.